GACGAACGCUGGCGGCGUGCUUAACACAUGCCAGUCGAACGCUGAAGCUUGGUGCUUGCACUGGGUGGAUGAGUGGCGAACGGGUGAGUAAUACGUGAGUAACCUGCCCUUGACUCUGGGAUAAGCCUGGGAAACUGGGUCUAAUACUGGAUACGACAUGCCACUGCAUGGUGGUGUGUGGAAAGGGUUUUACUGGUUUUGGAUGGGCUCGCGGCCUAUCAGCUUGUUGGUGGGGUAAUGGCCUACCAAGGCGACGACGGGUAGCCGGCCUGAGAGGGUGACCGGCCACACUGGGACUGAGACACGGCCCAGACUCCUACGGGAGGCAGCAGUGGGGAAUAUUGCACAAUGGGCGGAAGCCUGAUGCAGCGACGCCGCGUGAGGGAUGACGGCCUUCGGGUUGUAAACCCCUUUCAGCACGGAAGAAGCGAGAGUGACGGUACGUGCAGAAGAAGCGCCGGCUAACUACGUG
This 472-nucleotide ribosomal RNA is filed under the name uncultured bacterium. Its description in RNAcentral is "partial 16S ribosomal RNA". It matches the Rfam family "Bacterial small subunit ribosomal RNA", at positions 28 to 507 of the family's 1533-position model. The record is from RNAcentral.